RNAcentral lists this ribosomal RNA (465 nucleotides) under uncultured Klebsiella sp. RNAcentral's name for it is "bacterial SSU rRNA". It matches the Rfam family "Bacterial small subunit ribosomal RNA", at positions 338 to 795 of the family's 1533-position model. Lineage: Bacteria; Pseudomonadati; Pseudomonadota; Gammaproteobacteria; Enterobacterales; Enterobacteriaceae. The record is from RNAcentral.
CCUACGGGAGGCUGCAGUGGGGAAUAUUGCACAAUGGGCGCAAGCCUGAUGCAGCCAUGCCGCGUGUGUGAAGAAGGCCUUCGGGUUGUAAAGCACUUUCAGCGGGGAGGAAGGCGGUGAGGUUAAUAACCUCAUCGAUUGACGUUACCCGCAGAAGAAGCACCGGCUAACUCCGUGCCAGCAGCCGCGGUAAUACGGAGGGUGCAAGCGUUAAUCGGAAUUACUGGGCGUAAAGCGCACGCAGGCGGUCUGUCAAGUCGGAUGUGAAAUCCCCGGGCUCAACCUGGGAACUGCAUUCGAAACUGGCAGGCUAGAGUCUUGUAGAGGGGGGUAGAAUUCCAGGUGUAGCGGUGAAAUGCGUAGAGAUCUGGAGGAAUACCGGUGGCGAAGGCGGCCCCCUGGACAAAGACUGACGCUCAGGUGCGAAAGCGUGGGGAGCAAAUGGGAUUAGAUACCCGAGUAGUC